Molecule: non-coding RNA, 45 nt
Organism: Strongylocentrotus purpuratus (purple sea urchin)
Lineage: Eukaryota; Metazoa; Echinodermata; Echinoidea; Camarodonta; Strongylocentrotidae
Source: Rfam
CCAACAGUCCUUUUCAGGACUACUCAAACAUAAGAAAGAAAGAUU